UAUGUAGGGUGCAAGCGUUGUCCGGAAUUAUUGGGCGUAAAGAGCUCGUAGGCGGCCUGUCGCGUCGGCUGUGAAAACCCGGGGCUCAACCCCGGGCCUGCAGUCGAUACGGGCAGGCUAGAGUCCGGCAGGGGAGACUGGAAUUCCUGGUGUAGCGGUGAAAUGCGCAGAUAUCAGGAGGAACACCGGUGGCGAAGGCGGGUCUCUGGGCCGGAACUGACGCUAAGGAGCGAAAGCGUGGGGAGCGAACAGG
This 253-nucleotide ribosomal RNA is filed under the name uncultured bacterium. RNAcentral's name for it is "partial 16S ribosomal RNA". It matches the Rfam family "Bacterial small subunit ribosomal RNA", at positions 524 to 776 of the family's 1533-position model. The record is from RNAcentral.